This 254-nucleotide ribosomal RNA is filed under the name uncultured bacterium. RNAcentral's name for it is "partial 16S ribosomal RNA". It matches the Rfam family "Bacterial small subunit ribosomal RNA", at positions 524 to 776 of the family's 1533-position model. The record is from RNAcentral.
CACGUAGGGGGCGAGCGUUGUCCGGAUUUAUUGGGCGUAAAGAGCUCGUAGGCGGUUCAGUAAGUCGGGGGUGAAACCCCCGGGCUCAACCCGGGGACGCCACCUGAUACUGCUGUGACUUGAGUCCGGUAGGGGAGCGUGGAAUUCCUGGUGUAGCGGUGAAAUGCGCAGAUAUCGGGAAGAACACCCAUGGCGAAGGCAGCUCUCUGGGACGGUACUGACGCUGAGACGCGAAAGCGUGGGGAGCGAACAGG